GCUCCAAUAGCGUAUAUUAAAGUUGUUGCAGUUAAAAAGCUCGUAGUUGGAUUUCUGGAAGGGUGCCGAAGCCAGCUUCGUGCUGUCGCUGAAGCGCCUUUCAUCCUUCUGUUAACGCCUCUUGGCAUUCAUUUGCUGGUGGCGGGCUCAGAUAUUUUACCUUGAGAAAAUUAGAGUGUUUCAGGCAGGCUAAGCCGGAA
This 200-nucleotide ribosomal RNA is filed under the name uncultured eukaryote. RNAcentral describes it as "partial 18S ribosomal RNA". It matches the Rfam family "Eukaryotic small subunit ribosomal RNA", at positions 588 to 799 of the family's 1831-position model. The record is from RNAcentral.